RNAcentral lists this ribosomal RNA (497 nucleotides) under uncultured bacterium. RNAcentral describes it as "partial 16S ribosomal RNA". It matches the Rfam family "Bacterial small subunit ribosomal RNA", at positions 28 to 507 of the family's 1533-position model. The record is from RNAcentral.
GAUGAACGCUGGCGGCGUGCCUAAUACAUGCAAGUCGAGCGAACAGAUGAGGAGCUUGCUCCUCUGACGUUAGCGGCGGACGGGUGAGUAACACGUGGAUAACCUACCUAUAAGACUGGGAUAACUUCGGGAAACCGGAGCUAAUACCGGAUAAUAUAUUGAACCGCAUGGUUCAAUAGUGAAAGACGGUUUUGCUGUCACUUAUAGAUGGAUCCGCGCCGCAUUAGCUAGUUGGUAAGGUAACGGCUUACCAAGGCAACGAUGCGUAGCCGACCUGAGAGGGUGAUCGGCCACACUGGAACUGAGACACGGUCCAGACUCCUACGGGAGGCAGCAGUAGGGAAUCUUCCGCAAUGGGCGAAAGCUUGACGGAGCAACGCCGCGUGAGUGAUGAAGGACUUCGGAUCGUAAAACUCUGUUAUUAGGGAAGAACAAAUGUGUAAGUAACUAUGCACGUCUUGACGGUACCUAAUCAGAAAGCCACGGCUAACUACGUG